AAGCGUAAUAGCUCACUAGUCGAGUCGUCCUGCGCGGAAGAUGUAACGGGGCUAAGCACGUAACCGAAGCUUCGGAUAUGCACUUUGUGCAUAUGGUAGAGGAGCGUUCUGUAAGUCUGCGAAGGUGUCCUGUAAGGGAUGCUGGAGAUAUCAGAAGUGCGAAUGCUGACAUGAGUAGCGAUAAAGGGGGUGAAAAGCCCCCUCGCCGAAAACCCAAGGUUUCCUGCGCAACGUUCAUCGGCGCAGGGUGAGUCGGCCCCUAAGGUGAGGCAGAGAUGCGUAGCUGAUGGGAAACGGGUCAAAAUUCCCGUACUUUCGUUUACUGCGAUGUGGGGACGGAGAAGGUUAGGUGAGCCGGGUGUUGGAUGUCCCGGUUUAAGUGCGUAGGCAGAUCCCUUAGGCAAAUCCGGGGGGUUAAUGUCGAGACACGAUGACGGUCUCUCAUUGAGAGCGAAGUCACUGAUACCAAGCUUCCAAGAAAAGCCACUAAGCUUCAGGUAAACGAGAACCGUACCGCAAACCGACACAGGUGGGUAGGAUGAGAAUUCUAAGGCGCUUGAGAGAACUCGGGUGAAGGAACUCGGCAAAUUAGCACCGUAACUUCGGGAGAAGGUGCGCCCCGGUAGGUUGUAGCGAUUUACUUGCGAAGGCCGAUGGGGUUGCAGUGAAAAGGUGGCUGCGACUGUUUAAUAAAAACACAGCACUCUGCAAACACGAAAGUGGACGUAUAGGGUGUGACGCCUGCCCGGUGCCGGAAGGUUAAUUGAUGGGGUGCAAGCUCUUGAUCGAAGCCCCGGUAAACGGCGGCCGUAACUAUAACGGUCCUAAGGUAGCGAAAUUCCUUGUCGGGUAAGUUCCGACCCGCACGAAUGGCGUAACGAUGGCCACACUGUCUCCACCCGAGACUCAGCGAAGUUGAAAUGUUUGUGAAGAUGCAAUCUCCCCGCGGCUAGACGGAAAGACCCCAUGAACCUUUACUGUAGCUUUGCAUUGGACUGUGACGGGACUUGUGUAGGAUAGCUGGGAGCCUGUGAAGCGAGGUCGCUAGAUCUCGUGGAGGCGUCGUUGAAAUACCAGCCUGGUGUCGUUGCGGUUCUAACCUAGGUCCAUUAUCUGGAUCGGGGACCGUGCAUGGUGGGCAGUUUGACUGGGGCGGUCUCCUCCCAAAGUGUAACGGAGGAGUACGAAGGUCUUCUAGGUACGGUCGGACAUCGUACUGAUAGUGCAAUGGCAAAAGAAGGCUUGACUGCGAGACUGACACGUCGAGCAGGUGCGAAAGCAGGUCAUAGUGAUCCGGUGGUUCUGUAUGGAAGGGCCAUCGCUCAACGGAUAAAAGGUACUCUGGGGAUAACAGGCUGAUUCCUCCCAAGAGUUCAUAUCGACGGGGGAGUUUGGCACCUCGAUGUCGGCUCAUCACAUCCUGGGGCUGUAGCCGGUCCCAAGGGUAUGGCUGUUCGCCAUUUAAAGUGGUACGUGAGCUGGGUUUAAAACGUCGUGAGACAGUUUGGUCCCUAUCUGCCGUGGGCGCUGGAUAUUUGACGGGGGCUGCUCCUAGUACGAGAGGACCGGAGUGGACGUGCCUCUGGUGUACCGGUUAUGACGCCAGUCGUAUCGCCGGGUAGCUAAGCACGGAAGAGAUAAACGCUGAAAGCAUCUAAGCGUGAAACUUGCCUGAAGAUAAGAUAUCCCUUGCACCUUGA
This 1700-nucleotide ribosomal RNA is filed under the name aquatic metagenome. Its description in RNAcentral is "bacterial LSU rRNA". It matches the Rfam family "Bacterial large subunit ribosomal RNA", at positions 1130 to 2826 of the family's 2925-position model. The record is from RNAcentral.